UUCGUGCGUUUUACGCCCUCUCCCUGCGCUCUACUCCGUGAGACUUCCCAACACGCUCACGUGACAAAGGGAGCUUGGCUUUUAUGUUCGAUAGAACCCGCCGUGUGUUUAUCUGUCGACUUACACUGCACAGAGUGAGUGGUUGUAAGCUUUAUGGUAUCCUGCUAAACCGUGGCUGGGCUGGUGUUUUUUUAUUUUUGGAAGCAGAGUGUAAAAUCCCAAGUUUAAGACUACUAAUAUAUCCUCGUGUGUUGAUUGGUUACCGGGAUCUCGAUCUUCAAAACUCGACAGUUUCAUUUACAAGUUUGGGCUGAAAGAGACUAAGAAGCCCGAAUGGAGAAAUGGAUCAUGGUGUUAAUGGUGUUACUUCCACUUUUACCUCAAGGUUUAGCCACCCAGUGUUACCUCUGUAGCUGGAGUCCGAAUGACAGAAACAACGUAACAGACCGUUGCACAGACGACAACUUUCACCCCCAGAGGGUGUACACGCACGAGUGUGACCAUGGGUGUGAGAUAUUCGUUCAGUGGGAUUCGAAUGGAAUCCUCGAACACUGGAGAAGAAACUGUGUCCCGAAAGACGUAGACGCAGAAUUGAACUGUGAAGUUUCUAAUAAACUCGCAUGGAAGAGAAAAAUUUGUACUUGCGAUUCGGACUACUGUAACAGUGUAUCCUGUUUGGCAGGAUUAGGUGUUUCUGGACACGCGUUGAUUUUACUGUUACUGUUGAAAUUAACGCAGUGACUUUUUUUAGUCCCUGUGCAUCUCUAUAGAGAACUGUAAAACAAAAUGAUAUCGUAAAGGUGUUAGUCUUGGACUAUCUAUUAAAGAGAAUGAUAGGUAACAUGAGAGAUACCUCCGGAUAACAGCUCAUGAAUAACAAAUUUAGUUCUUGUUGGCUAUCAUAAUAGUGUUACAUAGGUAUUGGAUAAUUAUUUUAAUCUUAAUUUAAGAAGUUUUUAUUAUAGCUUAUCAUAUGAAGUAACUAAAGCGACUUGGUGACUCGGUAAUAUAUCUACUAUUCUAUUGUGUAUUUCUAUUAUAUUUAGGGUAUAUAUUGUGUAUUUGUAUUAUAUUUAGGGUAAGAUGUUAUGUUUCUAUCGCACCAUGUUACUUCUUAUGUAUUUGUAAAUUAUAUAUUUUAUUGAUGUUCAUCUUUACAGUAUCCCAAACUGGUUGUUUGGAGUGAAAGUUGAUGUAGGAGACUGAUCAUAAAAAAAAACAGUUUUUAUAGAACAACAGAAAUUCACUGUAUAAGGUGGUUGUUGACGCGUAUUUUUUUUUUUUCAUAUUGACGUUGAGAAUCAAAAUGAGUAAAUAUAGGAGAAUCGUGGGAUUGAUGCUGUAUUGUAAAACUGGCAAAUAUAGGAGAAUCGUGGGAUUGGUGCUGUAUUGUAAAACUGGCAAAUAUAGGAGAAUCAUGGGAUUGGUGCUGUAUUGUAAAACUGGCAAAUACAGGAGAAUCGUGGGAUUGAUGCUGUAUUGUAAAACUGGCAAAUACAGGAGAAUCAUGGGAUUGGUGCUGUAUUGUAAAACUGGCAAAUAUAGGAGAAUCAUGGGAUUGGUGCUGUAAAACUGGCAAGUAUAGAAGAAUCAUGGGAUUGGUGCUGUAUUGUAAAACAGUCCACCUUUGUCAAUCCAUCUCUCUCUCAAACGGGCUUAGCUGAUACGCUAAAGAAAAAAUGUCGGAUUUUAACUCAUUUAGAAUUCCUUAUAAGCUAAAAAAGUGUAUUUACCAGAUAGAUGUGUAUAAAGUCACAUAAAAGCUUAUUGUUAAACGUGAAACUACGUGAAUUUGAGUCACGUGGUUGGCAAAAAUUCAUUUACAUUCAAGACAGUUUGACUUGCAUGUUUACUUUCAUCAGAAUUUCUCACAUUUAAUCCCUUGGUGCUCGGGAGAAAAUGAUAUUAUUUUAAGUAACCUUCAGCCCAUUAGUUCGAGACAGAAGCGUGUCCAUAUUUUCAAUUUUAUUUUAGACGUUUGUGAUUUUAGAUAGCUUGUUAUAUUCCCACACAUUAGUAUUUAUUGUCAACAUACAGGGUAUAAGCUUACAGCAGUAAGGCUUAAGUUAUUAGUAACAUCGCUGAUCUCUCACUGUUCUCUCAAAACAAACAUGCUUGGACUUACACAGAAAAAACUUGAAAACACUACGGUAUUUUUCCCAUGUCUCGCUGUCCUUAGAUAACAUAAAAAAAAACGUUGUAUUAAAACAUUAAAAAAAAUGAUGUAUUGUAGCAAAGAAAAAAUCAUAAUACGAAGAUUUCGAUCGGUUUGAUAAACUAUAAAUCCUUUCUAUUGACGUGGAGAAUAAAGUUACAUUAUAAGCCAGAAGAGGGAGUUACGUACGAACCCUAAAUAGUAUUUGUGCCUUCAAUUUGAAAACGAAGAAAUAUUAUUAUUUAUAAAAUACUGAGAAAAAAAACUAUAAUGAACAUUUUUCUUUGUUUUCUAAUAACAAUACAUUGGUUCAUACAAAACAAUGUAAAUAAAAUACACCAAAUUAUCUCGUACUGUUUAACAGAACUUUAAUAACAUUUGUUAGUUGCACGAGCCUUAAAAUACGUGGAUUUAGGGCGACUUAAAUAUCAACAUUGUUCUAUGUAUGAUCCUUAAUCUUAAUACUCAAAAACAGAAUGACGAGAAUGAAAAACUGUCUCCAAAAAUGAGAGUAAUCACAUUCCACACACAAAAAAACGACGUUUCGCUUAUGCCUUUCUCAAGAGUUGGAACGUCACAUCUAAAUAUAAACUGAGAAAGAUGUAGGCUGAAAGGUAAGGCUUAGAUAAUAUAAAUAUUUUAUUUUUCUAAAGUGUGACUGAUAGUUUUUUUUUUAACAUGGUUUCAAUUCUCCAGUUUGCUCUGCAAAGUUUAUAAACUGAAAAAAGAAAACCAAAUUCUGUUGUUUUCGGAUGUAAUGACGAUAUGUACUGUUGGUUUCGGAUGUAAUGACGAUAAGUACUGCUGGUUUCGGAUGUAAUUACGAUAAGUACUGUUGGUUUCGGAUGUAAUAACGAUAAGUCCUGUUGAUUUCGGAUGUAAUAACGAUAAGUCCUGUUGGUUUCGGAUGUAAUGACGAUAAGUACUGUUGGUUUCGGAUGUAAUGACGAUAAGGGCUGUUGGUUUCAGAUGUAAUGACGAUAAGGGCUGUUGGUUUCAGAUGUAACGAUAAGUAUUGUUGGUUUCGGAUGUAAUGACGAUAUGUAAUGUUGGUUUCGGAUGUAAUGACGAUAAGUACUGUUGGUUUCGGAUGUAAUAACGAUAAGUAUUGUUGGUUUCGGAUGUAAUAACGAUAAGUAUUGUUGGUUUCGGAUGUAAUGACGAUAAGUACGAUCUGGUGCUUAAUAUUUACUAACGUCUUUAUAAUAAAAUCAAAUAAUAUUGUAUAACGUAUUUCACAGAUUUCUGUAUAUUGCUUUCAAUCAGAAAUCAUUGUUCCCGUACUAUCUCAACUGUAUACAGAAAUACGGAGUUACACGAUUCUUAUGUGAUGCUUUUGAUUGGCUGAUAAAUAAGUGCACGAUUUAGAACAUUUAGUUGGAAUACAAUCCUCACUUUGUUGUCUACAAACUUUGUUUUCGGGAGAAUCGCUUGUUCUACCGAGAGCAUUACUUAUGCCUUCAGGUAGUACGAUAAGACGUUCUGCACGCAGACGAACGCACGAGGUUAUUGUACUGCAGUAAUUCGACACGUCAGUGUAAAACGUGACAAUUAGCUGAAAUGCCAGAGUGUAUACAUGAGUUUCAACAAACAGUCUAAAUGAAGAACAUCAUAGUAUUGAAUAGACAUAAUAGCGAAGUUGAAUUUGUGCAUGAACGAAUACAUUCUAGUAAAGUGUAUUCCA
Molecule: long non-coding RNA, 3839 nt
Organism: Limulus polyphemus (Atlantic horseshoe crab)
Lineage: Eukaryota; Metazoa; Arthropoda; Merostomata; Xiphosura; Limulidae
Exons: 4
Source: RefSeq, a predicted model, not a curated record